CCUACGGGUGGCAACAGUGGGGGAUCUUGCACCAUGGGGGGAACCCUGAUGCAGCGACGCCGCGUGGGUGAAGAAGCGCCUCGGCGCGUAAAGCCCUGUCAGCAGGGAAGAAAAUGACGGUACCUGAAGAAGAAGCCCCGGCUAACUACGUGCCAGCAGCCGCGGUCAUACGUAGGGGGCAAGCGUUAUCCGGCUUGACUGGGGUUAAAGCGGGCGCAGACGGGGAUGGAAGCCAGGCGUGAAAGCCCGGGGCCCAACCCCCGGGCCGCCCUUGGAACUGGGUGGCUGGAGUGGAGGAGGGGCAGGCGGAAUUCCUGGUGUAGCGGUGAAAUGCGUAGAUAUCAGGAGGAACACCGGUGGCGAAGGCGGCCUGCUGGACUGCAACUGACGUUGAGGCCCGAAAGCGUGGGGAGCAAACAGGAUUAGAUACCCGAGUAGUC
This 440-nucleotide ribosomal RNA is filed under the name uncultured bacterium. RNAcentral's name for it is "partial 16S ribosomal RNA". It matches the Rfam family "Bacterial small subunit ribosomal RNA", at positions 338 to 795 of the family's 1533-position model. The record is from RNAcentral.